Molecule: long non-coding RNA, 2309 nt
Filed under: Sus scrofa (pig)
Lineage: Eukaryota; Metazoa; Chordata; Mammalia; Artiodactyla; Suidae
Description: lncRNA (ENSSSCG00000062974.1)
Source: RNAcentral
ACCUUCUUAACUGGAAUUUUUUCCACAGCCUUACAUACUUCCUGCUUUCCUGUCAGGUCACCCAGGAUGACUUGUAGUUCACAAGUUAUUUGUGUUCACUUGGCAUAGGUCUGCUCUCUGGGUCUAGGUUAUUCUUACACCCAACAAUCCCUACUCCUUACAUAACCUCCUUCAUGGGAUGAACUUAUUUGAUAUUCAGAACUUGGCAGGGUCACUCUGUUGCUUCUUCUCUAAGAGUUUUUCUGACUUCUGUCCACAACCAGGAGAAAUACUGUUCUACUGUGCCUUGGGCCUCUUCCCUCACAGCACUCAUCAUUUGAAAUUGCUUCAUUUCUUUAGGUUUCUGCUUCCGACCUGCAAGCUCAAGAGUAGGACAUCCAUGCUGUGGUUCUUUUUACAUCCAACAUUGAGAAAAGUGGCUGCUGUGGAGUUGGGCUCAACAAAUAUUUGUGUAGUGAAUGAAAGAAUGAAUGUGUUAGAAAAAUCACCCAGGGCCAUCUGAACAAGUAGAACCUGUGCAAAUAUACAGAAAGGGCACUGAUGAAAAGUUAGAAUAAAGUUUUUUGGAAGAAAUAUAUACUAUGUCACAGAAUUGAAGGGAAAAGAGAAGAUGAUAGGAAAGAAGAAUGGUGCAAUAAAGGCAUGGGGAGGAGGAAAGAGAAUCAGUGGCUCAGCUGUAGUGGCCAAGAUGCUCAUAAUUACAAAGAUAUCAGAAGACAUGGAAAGAUAUUUAUUCCUAAUUAAUUCCUAUCAAAAAUAAUCCCUUGCAUUCUGCUGUUCAAUAUACAUCCUCUGCUUUAUAAAAGAGAUUCUCAGCAAAUAUUAAGCCUUGACUCUAUGGAAGAUCUGUGGCCCCACAUUCCCACUGUGAAUGCGGUUAGCAUGCAAUAUAUCCUAAAGAUGACAUAUUGAAUAUUGCAUCCUAACCAGAUUGGAUGAAUCAUGGAUAUUUAUUUAUUUUUUUAUUUUUUUUUAUUUUCCCACUGUACAGCAAGGGGAUCAAGUUAUCCUUAUAUGUGUACAUUACAAUUACAUUUUUUCCCCACCCUUUGUUCUGUUGCAACAUGAGUAUCUAGACAAAGUUCUCAAUGCUAUUCAGCAGGAUCUCCUUGUAAAUCUAUUCUAAGUUUUGUCUGAUAAGCCCAAGCUCCUGAUCCCUCCAACUCCCUCCCCCUCUCAUCAGGCAGCCACAAGUCUUUUCUCCAAGUCCAUAUCAUGAUAUUUAAAACAGAAAUAUAAGUCUUGCUGUACAGUAGAAAGUUGACAGAACACUGCAAAGCACCUAUAAUGGAAAAAAAUAAAAAUCAUUAUACAAAGUAAAAAAAAAAAAAAUUUUAAAAAAGGUAGGUCAACCAGUCCCUGUAAUGAAGGCAUCUUCUGUCAACCAUGAAAGGAUUCUUCUUUUUCUAUCAUUACUUUGUAAUCCUAGAAACACUUCCCAACUUAAUGUGAAAGGUAUUUAACUUAUAGUUGUAAAAAGACCUCUCCUCAAUGUCUUCAUUCUAUUUGAUUAUUUUAGGGAAAAGAAAGUCCAUGUAAUGCCCCUUUCUCUUAAUUUCUUUGGCUGACCUCCAAAGUGUAGCUGUCAGCUAGUGUUAGCUAAGUAAGUAUGAGCCAUGGCCCAUGGCCCAUUUACUGUCAGUCACUUGGAUGGGAAUAUGCCCCCAGUAUUAGCAUUGCUAAACGUCAGGAGCAGCGACCAUCAAUACAAUUUUCUUCAGUCUGACACCCAGAGACUGAGUAAGGACAUCACAAGCUGUUAUAAAAACAGACACAAGAAGGUCUGUGAAUACACUGUCUAAGUUUAAGAAAUAUUUUAUUCAAACACAAUUAAAUCUCACCUUAUCGAGAAAGACUUUUAUGAUUAACCUCAUCUGCCAUCUCUUACUUGGCAACCUCACCUUGUAUUUACCCAUGUUUAAUAUUUUAAUUGUCAUUGUUUAAUAGGUUGCUCUGUAAAUGUAGCCUUCAAUCGUGUGUGUUUGUGAGUCUGUAUAUAUGUGUUCUAUCUCCUCAUUUAGACUGUCAGCUGGUUAAGGAUGAGAUUUCUGUCUUAUAUUUUUGUAUUCUUUCACAGCUCUUUCUAGAGUACUUCAUCUAUGAUAAUUUUCUGAGUAUAUGCUAAAUAAAAAUGGAAAAAUAUUCUUGCUUGUGAUUCUCAGUUAUAUAAAUUAUGAUAAAAUUUUCUUCCAAUUGCUAAAAUAAAAAGAGCCUAAGGAAGACAAUAUCACACAAAAUUUCCCAAACUAUAGAUAAUCCCUCUGAAAAACUCUGAAUAUAUCAUCUUACUCUGUAGCUGUAAAAACAUG